This 327-nucleotide ribosomal RNA is filed under the name uncultured bacterium. RNAcentral's name for it is "bacterial SSU rRNA". It matches the Rfam family "Bacterial small subunit ribosomal RNA", at positions 58 to 384 of the family's 1533-position model. The record is from RNAcentral.
CAAGUCGAACGGCAGCACGGGUGCUUGCACCUGGUGGCGAGUGGCGAACGGGUGAGUAAUGCACCGGAACGUACCCAGUAAUGGGGGAUAACACAUCGAAAGAUGUGCUAAUACCGCAUACGCCCUGAGGGGGAAAGCGGGGGAUCGUAAGACCUCGCGUUAUUGGAGCGGCCGAUGCCGGAUUAGCUAGUUGGUGAGGUAAGAGCUCACCAAGGCGACGAUCCGUAGCUGGUCUGAGAGGACGACCAGCCACACAAAAAGGUGAGACACGGCCCAGACUCCUACGGGAGGCAGCAGUGGGGAAUUUUGGACAAUGGGCGCAAGCCU